CCGUGGAGGUGGCCUGCUCUCCUCAGCUUGUGCUGCCCGUCUCAAAGGACUGGAGAUUCCUGCUCUGUCACUACACCUCCCACCCUCUCCAUCACCUGCUCUGCUCUUAUAAGGAUCCGGAGAAAUGGAAUAAUCGUAUUGCUGAUCUACGUAAACAAAUUCAAGAAUUGUCUGAAAGAAAAUAUGCUCGAGCUGUAAAAGCCAAAGAUCCGGUGAUGAUCCCAUACCCUUUUUUCCAGUCUCACGUUGAAGAUUUUUAUGUAGAAGGCCUUCCCAAAGGAAUUUUUUUUUUUUUUUUUUUUUGAGAUGGAAUUUUCACUCUUAACGCCCAGGCUGGGGUGCAAUGGUGCAACCUUGCUGGUCACUGCAACCUCUGCCUCCUGGGUUCAAGAAAUUCUCCUGCCUUAGCCUCCCAUGUCGCUGGGAUUACAGGUGCCCACCACCACACCAGGCUAAUUUUUGUAUUUUUAGUGGAGAUGGGGUUUCACCAUGUUGGCCAGGCCAGUCUCAAACUCCUGACAUCAAGUGAUCUUCCCACCUCGGCCUCCCAGAGUGCUGAGAUGACAGAUGUGAACCCAUGCCUGGCCAGGAAUUUUGUUUUUUAGAAAGGCUUUCUACUAAUGGAAUUCCUGGCCUUGAGAGGAUAUUACUUUCGAAGGAAAGGAUUUUUUUGUUAUUAAAAGAGCCACCUAAGCUGAAGAUUCCCUUGAGAACAAGUACUGUCCUGUGGUUUCAUGACCUUUCUUCCAUUUGUGGUUCUUGUGAAGUGGAAUUUAAAUGACAUCUUAUGAAGAUGGAUAAACCCUAGUUUCCCAGUGCUGGAAUAUAGAAAAUGAUGGACAAGUAAAUCCCACUCAGCACCCAUAGUCCAGGCAUGGGGACCUCAACACACCUGAGCCCCAGACAUCACCUUUCAUUAAUGUCUUUUUGUCACUUCUAGCUGGACCUACCAUGAAAGACUUCUGAAUCCAGGAAGAGAGACUGACUGGGCAACAUGUUAUUCAGAUGGGGUCUUCUUAUGUUGCCCAGGCUGGUCUCAAAUUCCUAGGCUCAAGUGAUUCCACCCACCUCUGCCUCCCAAAGUGCUGGGAUUACAGGCAUGAGCCAGCGCAUCUGGCCACCUUAUUUUCUAUUACUGGCCCAAUGUAAUGGCUCCAUCUCAGGAACAGCCAAUGAAAGAGAUGCACAGGACAAGGAAGUGACUUCACAAUGACUCAAGCUACCAUAUACUGUUGAUUGUGAAAUGCCAGUUGAAGCAUAUGUCCUGUGAGCUUAGGGGUGCUACAGGUUGACCACUGCAGCAGUAAAGAUGACUCUGAAGAAUGGCAUGGGAUGGAUCCUUUCGAAUGCACUUGAGCAGCGGUCUCCAACCACAGGGCCACAGAGCUG
Long non-coding RNA from Pongo pygmaeus (Bornean orangutan), 1389 nucleotides. RefSeq lists it as uncharacterized. The record is from RefSeq and is a predicted model, not a curated record. The transcript is spliced from 7 exons. Lineage: Eukaryota; Metazoa; Chordata; Mammalia; Primates; Hominidae.